Molecule: ribosomal RNA, 460 nt
Filed under: uncultured bacterium
Lineage: Bacteria
Description: partial 16S ribosomal RNA
Rfam family: Bacterial small subunit ribosomal RNA
Source: RNAcentral
CCUACGGGAGGCAGCAGUGAGGAAUAUUGGUCAAUGGACGAGAGUCUGAACCAGCUAAGUAGCGUGAAGGAUGACUGCCCGAUGGGUGGUAAACUUCUUUUAUAUGGGAAUAAAAUGUUCCAAGUGUGGGAUUUUGUAUGUACCAUAUGAAUAAGGAUCGGCUAACUCAGUGCCAGCAGCCGCGGUAAUACGGAGGAUCCGAGCGUUAUCCGGAUUUAUUGGGUUUCAAGGGAGCGUAGGUGGAUUGUUAAGUCAGUUGUGAAAGUUUGCGGCUCAACCGUAAAAUUGCAGUUGAAACUGGCAGUCUUGAGUACAGUAGAGGUGGGCGGAAUUCGUGGUGUAGCGGUGAAAUGCUUAGAUAUCACGAAGAACUCCGAUUGCGAAGGCAGCUCACUGGACUGCAACUGACACUGAGGCUCGAAAGUGUGGGUAUCAAACAGGAUUAGAUACCCUUGUAGUC